UUCCUUGGAAAAGGACAGCUGAGAGAGUGAAACUCCCGUCCGCCUGGUAGAAUGAGUCUUUGCCAACGAGUCGAGUUGUUUGGGAUUGCAGCUCUAAUUUGGUGGUAAAUUCCAUCUAAAGCUAAAUAUUGGUGGGAGACCGAUAGCGUACAAGUACCGUGAGGGAAAGAUGCAAAGAACUUUGAAAAGAGAGUUAAAGAGUACCUGAAAUUGCUGAAACGGAAGCGAAGGAAACCAGUGUUUGUUGGUUCAUAUUUCCCUGGCCACUUGUGGUUUGGGCG
This 281-nucleotide ribosomal RNA is filed under the name Pseudo-nitzschia fraudulenta. RNAcentral describes it as "partial 28S ribosomal RNA". It matches the Rfam family "Eukaryotic large subunit ribosomal RNA", at positions 186 to 475 of the family's 3401-position model. The record is from RNAcentral. Lineage: Eukaryota; Bacillariophyta; Bacillariophyceae; Bacillariales; Bacillariaceae.